GAUGAACGCUGGCGGCGUGCCUAAUACAUGCAAGUCGAGCGAACGGACGAGAAGCUUGCUUCUCUGAUGUUAGCGGCGGACGGGUGAGUAACACGUGGAUAACCUACCUAUAAGACUGGGAUAACUUCGGGAAACCGGAGCUAAUACCGGAUAAUAUUUUGAACCGCAUGGUUCAAAAGUGAAAGACGGUCUUGCCGUCACUUAUAGAUGGAUCCGCGCUGCAUUAGCUAGUUGGUAAGGUAACGGCUUACCAAGGCAACGAUGCAUAGCCGACCUGAGAGGGUGAUCGGCCACACUGGAACUGAGACACGGUCCAGACUCCUACGGGAGGCAGCAGUAGGGAAUCUUCCGGAAUGGGCGAAAGCCUGACGGAGCAACGCCGCGUGAGUGAUGAAGGUCUUCGGAUCGUAAAACUCUGUUAUUAGGGAAGAACAUAUGUGUAAGUAACUGUGCACAUCUUGACGGUACCUAAUCAGAAAGCCACGGCUAACUACGUG
This 497-nucleotide ribosomal RNA is filed under the name uncultured bacterium. RNAcentral's name for it is "partial 16S ribosomal RNA". It matches the Rfam family "Bacterial small subunit ribosomal RNA", at positions 28 to 507 of the family's 1533-position model. The record is from RNAcentral.